UACGGAGGGCGCGAGCGUUAAUCGGAAUUACUGGGCGUAAAGCGCACGUAGGCUGUUGUGUAAGUUGGGGGUGAAAUCCCACGGCUCAACCGUGGAACAGCCCUUGAUACUGCGCGACUUGAAUCCGGGAGAGGGUGGCGGAAUUCCAGGUGUAGGAGUGAAAUCCGUAGAUAUCUGGAGGAACAUCAGUGGCGAAGGCGGCCACCUGGACCGGUAUUGACGCUGAGGCGCGAAAGCGUGGGGAGCAAACAGG
Molecule: ribosomal RNA, 253 nt
Filed under: uncultured bacterium
Lineage: Bacteria
Description: partial 16S ribosomal RNA
Rfam family: Bacterial small subunit ribosomal RNA
Source: RNAcentral